AACGAACGCUGGCGGCAGGCCUAACACAUGCAAGUCGAGCGCCCCGCAAGGGAGCGGCGGACGGGUGAGUAACGCGUGGGAACGUGCCUCUUGCUACGGAAUAGCCUCGGGAAACUGGGAGUAAUACCGUAUGUGCCCUACGGGGGAAAGAUUUAUCGGCAAGAGAUCGGCCCGCGUUGGAUUAGGUAGUUGGUGGGGUAAUGGCCUACCAAGCCGACGAUCCAUAGCUGGUUUGAGAGGAUGAUCAGCCACACUGGGACUGAGACACGGCCCAGACUCCUACGGGAGGCAGCAGUGGGGAAUCUUAGACAAUGGGCGCAAGCCUGAUCUAGCCAUGCCGCGUGAGCGAUGAAGGCCUUAGGUUGUAAAGCUCUUUCAGUGGGAAGAUAAUGACUGUACCCACAGAAGAAAGCCCGGCUAACUCCGUGCCAGCAGCGCGGUAAAGUCGAUAUCG
Molecule: ribosomal RNA, 454 nt
Filed under: uncultured bacterium
Lineage: Bacteria
Description: bacterial SSU rRNA
Rfam family: Bacterial small subunit ribosomal RNA
Source: RNAcentral